This 397-nucleotide unclassified non-coding RNA is filed under the name Hevea brasiliensis (rubber tree). The record is from RNAcentral. Lineage: Eukaryota; Viridiplantae; Streptophyta; Magnoliopsida; Malpighiales; Euphorbiaceae.
CACGUGUUGGGGUACCCAAAACCUGCAAGUGAAUCACAAAAACUAUUGUAAGAAAGGAAAGAAAAUAAAAUAUAGAAAUAAAAGGAAGUUUGCAUUUUCUAAUCUCAGCGAAAUGGCAAGGUCUGUUCUAGUUCAAUAUGAGUAAAUAUUUGAAUAUUCUUGACAAGACUUAAACAAUCACUUUUCAAAUGAGGAUUGUCAUAAGAAAGGUCCAUAGGGCUAGAAAUGGCUAGGAUGGCUAAGUUUCAAUAGCAAUCACAAGUUCUACCUACUAUUGGAUUUGAACCAAUGACUUUCUGAUACAGUAAAAAAUGGAUGGGGCUUAAUACAGAUUAUCUGGUGCCCUUUUUUGGUGAGUAAUUUUACAAACAAGUAUUACCUUUAUAAUUUCAACAAG